GUGGUCGUGGCGGAGUGGUUAUCGGGCAUGAGUAGAAAUCAUAUGGGCUUUGCCCGCGCAGGUUCGAAUUCUGCCGACCACG
Molecule: transfer RNA, 82 nt
Filed under: Triticum urartu
Lineage: Eukaryota; Viridiplantae; Streptophyta; Magnoliopsida; Poales; Poaceae
Rfam family: tRNA
About the family: Transfer RNA (tRNA) molecules are approximately 80 nucleotides in length. Their secondary structure includes four short double-helical elements and three loops (D, anti-codon, and T loops). Further hydrogen bonds mediate the characteristic L-shaped molecular structure. tRNAs have two regions of fundamental functional importance: the anti-codon, which is responsible for specific mRNA codon recognition, and the 3' end, to which the tRNAs corresponding amino acid is attached (by aminoacyl-tRNA synthetases). tRNAs cope with the degeneracy of the genetic code in two manners: having more than one tRNA (with a specific anti-codon) for a particular amino acid; and 'wobble' base-pairing, i.e. permitting non-standard base-pairing at the 3rd anti-codon position.
Source: Rfam by way of RNAcentral